Amphiprion ocellaris (clown anemonefish) is the source of this 464-nucleotide long non-coding RNA. The record is from Ensembl. Lineage: Eukaryota; Metazoa; Chordata; Actinopteri; Pomacentridae.
UAAAUACACUGUAAAAAUAUAGAAUUAAAGAGGUCCAUCGGUCCUGUAAAUACACUGUAAAAAUAUAGAAUUAAAGAGGUCCAUCGGUCCUGUAAAUACACUGUAAAAAUAUAGAAUUAAAGAGGUCCAUCGGUCCUGUAAAUACACUGUAAAAAUAUAGAAUUAAAGAGGUCCAUCGGUCCUGUAAAUACACUGUAAAAAUAUAGAAUUAAAGAGGUCCAUCGGUCCUGUAAAUACACUGUAAAAAUAUAAAAAUAAAGAGGUCCAUCAGUCCUGUAAAUACACUGUAAAAAUAUAACAAUAAAAAGGUCCAUUAGUCCUGUAAAGACACUGUAAAAAAUGUAAAAAUAGAGGUCCAUCAGUCCUGUAAAUACACUGUAAAAAUAUAUAUUAAAGAGGUCCAUUAGUCCUGUAAAUACACUGUAAAAAUAUAGAAUUAAAGAGGUCCAUUAGUCCUGUAAAUA